AAUAAAUUUUGAGAAACGUGUGCAAUUUAGCCGAUGAGGGUGAUGAGGAUUAGCGAAGAUCAAUCGAUAUAAUGAUUUUUUCGAAUCAAUAUUAUUUUCUGAUGGAAAUGGUUUGCGGCGUUUGGAGUGGAGUGGAGGAAAACGAGUUGGCAGUCACUAUUUUUUUGAUCGACACGGAAGGAACUGUCAGAUGUUUUCAGCAAGAGCUUUUAAAAUUAUUGGACGUGUUAGGAACCACACGUUAAAAGGGCCAACUUUUAUAUGCCAUCGUCAAAGAAGGUUGCCGUCUGAUUAUAGACACCACUGCAACAUGGUCGUUUUGGUCAUCUUUGUGGCGCUGCUCAGUCAGAACCGUCUUCAAUUGCAGCAAAAAUGAUAGUCACUUGGUGCUAGAUGGGGACUGUAUGGAGGGUGGUCCAGUUGUUCCCAGCUGAAUGAAGGUCUCUCACUUCGUUUCUUAUCUUGAAUAUUUGUGCAGCCAUCACUUGAAGCUCCAACCCAUGAAACGAAUAACAGCACGCAUUUCACAGGUGGUGGGAAUCACUUUCGGCGGCGGCAUUUCAAACAUGACUCGCAUAUUAUUAAAGAUACAUUUGUUGAUGCCAUCAGCAUUGAUUAUACUGAAGACUAAUACAAAUGACAUAUUUUUUCUGA
This is a long non-coding RNA of Leptinotarsa decemlineata (Colorado potato beetle), 654 nucleotides long. NCBI's taxonomy places the organism in Eukaryota, Metazoa, Arthropoda, Insecta, Coleoptera, Chrysomelidae. The record is from RefSeq and is a predicted model, not a curated record.